GCCCAGGUGGCGGAAUGGUAGACGCGCUAGUUUCAGGUACUAGUGUCCAAAAGACGUGGAGGUUCGAGUCCUCUCCUGGGCACCA
This 85-nucleotide transfer RNA is filed under the name Paracoccaceae bacterium. RNAcentral's name for it is "Rhodobacteraceae bacterium (marine metagenome) tRNA-Leu". It matches the Rfam family "tRNA". Rfam says of the family: Transfer RNA (tRNA) molecules are approximately 80 nucleotides in length. The record is from RNAcentral. RNAcentral also lists the same sequence under 1 other name. Lineage: Bacteria; Pseudomonadati; Pseudomonadota; Alphaproteobacteria; Rhodobacterales; Paracoccaceae.